GGGAGUGGAGUGGAGUGGAGUGGAGUGGAGUGGAGUGGGAGUGGGAGUGGGUGCAAGGGCGUGGGUGGGUGGGUGCGGCGGGCGCGCUUGUCGUGACACCUUGACUCAUCACCCCGCCUCCAACGCCUCCAACGCCUCGCUACUCCCCCUGCAACCCCCUUCCCCACGCCCCCGUCCCUCCGCUCCC
Molecule: microRNA precursor, 187 nt
Filed under: Chlamydomonas reinhardtii
Lineage: Eukaryota; Viridiplantae; Chlorophyta; Chlorophyceae; Chlamydomonadales; Chlamydomonadaceae
Description: miR1171 stem-loop (cre-MIR1171)
Source: miRBase by way of RNAcentral